GUCUGUUCCUCCAGAUAGCUGUUGUCCAUCCCUGACAAGGAACUGUACAAGGCCUGCCUGUUCACGGUCCUUCCUGGGUUAUUUUAUCCUGGACAUAAAGAGAUGUCUCAAGUUUCCUCCUGCUGAAACAGGAAAUCAUAGCCUAAUUCUCUUCUUGUUCGUUGUGUUGCGUGUGUAACCCAAUACCCUCCUCUCGCAUGAAGACGCAUUCAUUGCUGUGAGUUUCCCUACAUUGAUCUUGCCACUGACGUUUCCAGCAAGGCAGAUUCCACGUUAGCUUCCUUCUCUAGGCUUAGCAUCUUCUUUUAGCUCCAACGGCUCCUUAUGUGCAUGUCUUACUAGCUCUUUAAUCUCCUGCCUUGUGGCAUCCAUUCACUCUUUAGUCAUGACUUUUGGUUAAUGUUUCUUCUCACUUCUGUCCCCCCCCCAACAAUGUUCUCUUCAUCUGCUGUCUGCAUUCUGUGUAUUCCUAAGUUAAUAUUUGACCUGAAUACCUGGACUUGGUCCUUGCUUUCUGGUUCUAUUUUUUCAGUGCGUGUGUUUGAAUGAACUCAACGAUGACAUUUCUAAGUUUAUUUGGGUGACUACUCUCUCACCUCCUUCGACCCCAGCUUUGGCCCAUACUCUCCCUCCCUCCUCCCCUCUCUCACCUGUCCCUCCCUCCUCCCAUUUCCUAGUGCCAGUGGAUUCCUGCCCCUGCUUGAUCCUCGGGGCUUAGUGUUGACUGGUUUAUUCUUCCACAAGUCGUUUCACUCCAAAGGAGGAGAUACAGUCAUUCAGAGCAAGCUACAGCCACAGCUGGAACGCAGGUCCUAUGCGUUCCACUGGCUAGAUUGGUCAUAAGAGAGGAUAGAGUUAGAGAUACAGGAGGGAGAGAGAGCCACAGCCAGUGUGGGCUGGUGCUCAGGAAGGAGAAGGAGCUCAGAGGGACCGUGAUGUGAUGUGGCCAGGGGCGAUGCAACCAUCUGCUUUGCCGUGUUGAGAGUGUCAGCAAAACUACUUUGUCAUUCCUUCAUGCUAUGGAACUUGGAACACCUUUCUCUUCUGGAGUGCAUCACCAUGGAAGCAAGCUCUGCCGACCAGUUAAGCAGCUCAGAGCAGUCUGGCUGUGGUAACCUCGACGGCUUCUUGGUAGACCUGGUGUGGUGGCACAUAACCCAAAGUGCAGCACUUGAGAAGCGGAGGCAGGGGUGUUCCCUGGAGCGAGAGGUCAGCCUGAGUGAUGGAGUAAGACUCAGUUUCCAAAAACAGUCAAACAAAACCAAGGUCAAUGAUCUGGUCAGAGGAGAGUAUAUCUGGAGACAGAAUCCUUUCAUUCUCCUGGAAUUCAAGAUUUUUCUAUUAAAGCAAGUCAAA
This is a long non-coding RNA of Mus musculus (house mouse), 1356 nucleotides long. RefSeq annotates it as predicted gene, 32872. Lineage: Eukaryota; Metazoa; Chordata; Mammalia; Rodentia; Muridae. The transcript is spliced from 2 exons. The record is from RefSeq and is a predicted model, not a curated record.